GGGUUGUGAGGUUAAGCGACUAAGCGUACACGGUGGAUGCCCUGGCAGUCAGAGGCGAUGAAGGGCGUGCUAAUCUGCGAUAAGCGCCGGUAAGGUGAUAUGAACCGUUAUAACCGGCGAUACCCGAAUGGGGAAACCCAGUGUGACUCGUCACACUAUCAUUAACUGAAUCCAUAGGUUAAUGAGGCGAACCGGGGGAACUGAAACAUCUAAGUACCCCGAGGAAAAGAAAUCAACCGAGAUUCCCCCAGUAGCGGCGAGCGAACGGGGAGGAGCCCAGAGCCUGAAUCAGCAUGUGUGUUAGUGGAAGCGUCUGGAAAGGCGCGCGAUACAGGGUGACAGCCCCGUACACAAAAGCGCAUGUGCUGUGAGCUCGAUGAGUAGGGCGGGACACGUGGUAUCCUGUCUGAAUAUGGGGGGACCAUCCUCCAAGGCUAAAUACUCCUGACUGACCGAUAGUGAACCAGUACCGUGAGGGAAAGGCGAAAAGAACCCCGGCGAGGGGAGUGAAAAAGAACCUGAAACCGUGUACGUACAAGCAGUGGGAGCCCCACCACUAAGCCAGUGGUGAACUCCACAUACGCAUCCUUUGCUGAGGAUACGGUUAAGGGAGCGAAAGCGACGUUCAACCGCAAAAGAAGCAGAGGGGGCUUAGUGGUGGGGUGACUGCGUACCUUUUGUAUAAUGGGUCAGCGACUUAUAUUCUGUAGCAAGGUUAACCGUAUAGGGGAGCCGUAGGGAAACCGAGUCUUAACCGGGCGUUAAGUUGCAGGGUAUAGACCCGAAACCCGGUGAUCUAGCCAUGGGCAGGUUGAAGGUUGGGUAACACUAACUGGAGGACCGAACCGACUAAUGUUGAAAAAUUAGCGGAUGACCUGUGGCUGGGGGUGAAAGGCCAAUCAAACCGGGAGAUAGCUGGUUCUCCCCGAAAGCUAUUUAGGUAGCGCCUCGUGAACUCAUCUCCGGGGGUAGAGCACUGUUUCGGCUAGGGGGUCAUCCCGACUUACCAACCCGAUGCAAACUGCGAAUACCGGAGAAUGUUAUCACGGGAGACACACGGCGGGUGCUAACGUCCGUCGUGAAGAGGGAAACAACCCAGACCGCCAGCUAAGGUCCCAAAGUCAUGGUUAAGUGGGAAACGAUGUGGGAAGGCCCAGACAGCCAGGAUGUUGGCUUAGAAGCAGCCAUCAUUUAAAGAAAGCGUAAUAGCUCACUGGUCGAGUCGGCCUGCGCGGAAGAUGUAACGGGGCUAAACCAUGCACCGAAGCUGCGGCAGCGACACUGUGUGUUGUUGGGUAGGGGAGCGUUCUGUAAGCCUGUGAAGGUGUGUCGUGAGGCAUGCUGGAGGUAUCAGAAGUGCGAAUGCUGACAUAAGUAACGAUAAAGCGGGUGAAAAGCCCGCUCGCCGGAAGACCAAGGGUUCCUGUCCAACGUUAAUCGGGGCAGGGUGAGUCGACCCCUAAGGCGAGGCCGAAAGGCGUAGUCGAUGGGAAACGGGUUAAUAUUCCCGUACUUGGUGUUACUGCGAAGGGGGGACGGAGAAGGCUAUGUUGGCCGGGCGACGGUUGUCCCGGUUUAAGCGUGUAGGUGUGUGUUCCAGGUAAAUCCGGUUCACUUUAACACUGAGGCGUGAUGACGAGGCCCUACGGUGCUGAAGCAACAAAUGCCCUGCUUCCAGGAAAAGCCUCUAAGCAUCAGGUAACAC
Molecule: ribosomal RNA, 1705 nt
Filed under: Salmonella enterica
Lineage: Bacteria; Pseudomonadati; Pseudomonadota; Gammaproteobacteria; Enterobacterales; Enterobacteriaceae
Description: partial 23S ribosomal RNA
Rfam family: Bacterial large subunit ribosomal RNA
Source: RNAcentral